RNAcentral lists this long non-coding RNA (217 nucleotides) under Lathyrus oleraceus (garden pea). RNAcentral describes it as "Pisum sativum (pea) long non-coding RNA (PSAT_LNC021199)". The record is from RNAcentral. Lineage: Eukaryota; Viridiplantae; Streptophyta; Magnoliopsida; Fabales; Fabaceae.
UUCUUUUCUUUCCCAUUUAAUUUCUCUCUCAUUUUAAAACAAUUUUGAUCCAAAUUUUUUACACAAAGUCUCUAUAAAUAUUUUGCAUCACAUCCAUUUUUCUCUUAUUUUUUUAAAUCAUUUUUGAAUUUAUUGUUAUUUUUAUUUCAUUUUCAUUUUCAUUUCCUUUUCUAAUUUAUUUUUCAAGCAUUUUAAAACCUUUUGGAAUCCAACUUUU